This 360-nucleotide ribosomal RNA is filed under the name uncultured bacterium. RNAcentral's name for it is "bacterial SSU rRNA". It matches the Rfam family "Bacterial small subunit ribosomal RNA", at positions 32 to 371 of the family's 1533-position model. The record is from RNAcentral.
AAUCAACGCUGGCGGCGUGCCUCAGACAUGCAAGUCGAACGCGAAAGUUCCCUUCGGGGGGCGAGUAGAGUGGCGCACGGGUGAGUAACACGUAGGUAAUCUACCUUUGGGUGGGGAAUAACAGCCGGAAACGGCUGCUAAUACCGCAUAAUGCAGCGGCUCGACAUCGAGACAGUUGUUAAAGCGGGGGAUCGCAAGACCUCGCGCCUAAAGAGGAGCCUGCGGCGGAUUAGCUUGUUGGUGAGGUAAUGGCUCACCAAGGCAUCGAUCCGUAGCCGGCCUGAGAGGGCGGUCGGCCACACUGACACUGACAUACGGGUCAGACUCCUACGGGAGGCAGCAGUCGGGAAUUUUGGGCAA